GUAGGUGGCAAGCGUUGUCCGGAAUUAUUGGGCGUAAAGCGCGCGCAGGCGGUUCUUUAAGUCUGAUGCGAAAGCCCACGGCUCAACCGUGGAGGGUCAUUGGAAACUGGAGAACUUGAGUACAGAAGAGGAAAGCGGAAUUCCACGUGUAGCGGUGAAAUGCGUAGAGAUGUGGAGGAACACCAGUGGCGAAGGCGGCUUUCUGGUCUGUAACUGACGCUGAGGCGCGAAAGCGUGGGGAGCAAACAGGAUUAGAUACCCUGGUAGUCCACGCCGUAAACGAUGAGUGCUAAGUGUUAGGGGGUUUCCGCCCCCUUAGUGCUGCAGCUAACGCAUUAAGCACUCCGCCUGGGAGUACGGCCGCAAGGCUG
This 371-nucleotide ribosomal RNA is filed under the name uncultured organism. RNAcentral describes it as "partial 16S ribosomal RNA". It matches the Rfam family "Bacterial small subunit ribosomal RNA", at positions 527 to 896 of the family's 1533-position model. The record is from RNAcentral.